RNAcentral lists this transfer RNA (72 nucleotides) under Mucilaginibacter robiniae. It matches the Rfam family "tRNA". Rfam says of the family: Transfer RNA (tRNA) molecules are approximately 80 nucleotides in length. Their secondary structure includes four short double-helical elements and three loops (D, anti-codon, and T loops). Lineage: Bacteria; Pseudomonadati; Bacteroidota; Sphingobacteriia; Sphingobacteriales; Sphingobacteriaceae. The record is from Rfam by way of RNAcentral.
GGCCCCGUAGUUCAACGGAUAGAAUAGAAGUUUCCUAAACUUUAGAUACGCGUUCGAUUCGCGUCGGGGCUA